This 278-nucleotide ribosomal RNA is filed under the name uncultured Prevotellaceae bacterium. RNAcentral's name for it is "partial 16S ribosomal RNA". It matches the Rfam family "Bacterial small subunit ribosomal RNA", at positions 511 to 788 of the family's 1533-position model. The record is from RNAcentral. Lineage: Bacteria; Pseudomonadati; Bacteroidota; Bacteroidia; Bacteroidales; Prevotellaceae.
GCAGCCGCGGUAAUACGGAGGAUCCAAGCGUUAUCCGGAUUUAUUGGGUUUAAAGGGUGCGUAGGCGGCCUGGUAAGUUAGAGGUGAAAUCUCAUCGCUCAACGAUGAACGUGCCUCUGAUACUGUCGGGCUAGCGAGAGAGUGCUGUGGGCGGAAUGUGUAGUGUAGCGGUGAAAUGCUUAGAGAUUACACAGAACACCGAUUGCGAAAGCAGCUCACAAACUCUUUUCGGACGCUGAGGCACGAAAGCGUGGGGAGCAAACAGGAUUAGAUACCCC